CUACGGGAUGCUCCAGUGGGGGAUAUUGCACAAUGGGCGAAAGCCUGAUGCAGCAACGCCGCGUGAAGGAUGACGGAUUUCGGUCUGUAAACUUCUAUCAGCAGGGAAGAAAAUGACGGUACCUGACUAAGAAGCCCCGGCUAACUACGUGCCAGCAGCCGCGGUAAUACGUAGGGGGCAAGCGUUAUCCGGAAUUACUGGGUGUAAAGGGUACGUAGGCGGCUGAUCAAGUCAGAUGUGAAAGCCCGGAGCUCAACUCCGGGAUUGCAUUUGAAACUGGUCGGCUAGAGUGCAGGAGAGGAAAGUGGAAUUCCUAGUGUAGCGGUGAAAUGCGUAGAUAUUAGGAAGAACACCAGUGGCGAAGGCGGCUUUCUGGACUGUAACUGACGCUGAGGUACGAAAGCGUGGGGAGCGAACAGGAUUAGAUACCCGGGUAGUC
RNAcentral lists this ribosomal RNA (439 nucleotides) under uncultured bacterium. RNAcentral's name for it is "partial 16S ribosomal RNA". It matches the Rfam family "Bacterial small subunit ribosomal RNA", at positions 339 to 795 of the family's 1533-position model. The record is from RNAcentral.